AUAGCAUAUAGUAGCGAGAUAGACUAAUAGGAUUCCCUCAGUAUGGCGAAUGAACAGGGAUCAGCUCAGCAUGGAAAUCGGGGCCUGUGGCCUUGAAUUGUAGUCUCGAGUUGUACUGCCAACGGAGGCGCAGAUGUAAGCCUCUUGGAAAAGAGCAUCAACGAGGGUGAGAGUCCCGUUUGUCAUCUGCAGUCCCCCGUGCACGGUGUACUUCUAAAGAGUCACGUUCCUCGGGAUUGGAGCGCAAAGUGGGUGGUAAAUUUCAUCUAAAGCUAAAUAUAGGUUCGAGACCGAUAGCAAACAAGUACCAUGAGGGAAAGGUGAAAAGGACUUUGAAAAGAGAGUUAAAAGUGCCUGAAAUUGCUGAAAGGGAAGCGAAUGGAACCAGUGUUUCUUGGCAAGAUUGGUGCGUGCUAAUUGGAUUGCCUGCUGCUUCAGCGCAAGCGUGGUAGUAGGUUUUGAAGAGGAUGUGCGUGUUGUUUCUUGCCUUGUGUGUCAACGUCAGUUCUCAAUCGAGGAAAACGCCAGGGACAUGGUAGUUUGCCCCCGGGCGAGCGAAUGUGCUUGGUUGAACUCAUUUGUGAACUGUUAUUGCGUGUCUGGUUGCAGUGCUCUGUGUCCACACGCCUCCGCGGUGGGCUUGCUCCUCUGCGGGUGGUGUGGGUGACCGGGGUAUCUCCCUGACACAACGACGAUGACUAAAUGGUUCUAUUCGAC
RNAcentral lists this ribosomal RNA (717 nucleotides) under Heterocapsaceae sp. FIU31. RNAcentral describes it as "eukaryotic LSU rRNA". It matches the Rfam family "Eukaryotic large subunit ribosomal RNA", at positions 40 to 648 of the family's 3401-position model. Lineage: Eukaryota; Dinophyceae; Peridiniales; Heterocapsaceae. The record is from RNAcentral.